Molecule: ribosomal RNA, 373 nt
Filed under: uncultured organism
Description: partial 16S ribosomal RNA
Rfam family: Bacterial small subunit ribosomal RNA
Source: RNAcentral
GUAGGUGGCAAGCGUUGUCCGGAAUUAUUGGGCGUAAAGCGCGCGCAGGUGGUUCUUUAAGUCUGAUGUGAAAGCCCCCGGGCUCAACCGGGGAGGGUCAUUGGAAACUGGGGAACUUGAGUGCAGGAGAGGAAAGUGGAAUUCCACGUGUAGCGGUGAAAUGCGUAGAUAUGUGGAGGAACACCAGUAGCGAAGGCGACUUUCUGGCCUGUAACUGACACUGAGGCGCGAAAGCGUGGGGAGCAAACAGGAUUAGAUACCCUGGUAGUCCACGCCGUAAACGAUGAGUGCUAAGUGUUGGGGGGUUUCCGCCCCUCAGUGCUGCAGCUAACGCAUUAAGCACUCCGCCUGGGGAGUACGGUCGCAAAGACUG